CGCGGGAGUCCGGGCGGGCGUUUGCGUUCGCCAACUUGGUCAGGUCCGGAAGGAAGCAGCCACAACGGAUUGCGGCGGGUCGCCCGGCUCCUUUUUUC
This 98-nucleotide signal recognition particle RNA is filed under the name Novosphingobium sp. RNAcentral describes it as "signal recognition particle sRNA small type". It matches the Rfam family "Bacterial small signal recognition particle RNA". From Rfam's summary of the family: The signal recognition particle (SRP) is a universally conserved ribonucleoprotein involved in the co-translational targeting of proteins to membranes. Archaeal SRP consists of a 7S RNA and homologues of the eukaryotic SRP19 and SRP54 proteins. Lineage: Bacteria; Pseudomonadati; Pseudomonadota; Alphaproteobacteria; Sphingomonadales; Sphingomonadaceae. The record is from RNAcentral.